This is an RNA transcript of Pararge aegeria (speckled wood butterfly), 1866 nucleotides long. It is a transcript of the gene named rho-associated protein kinase 2-like, with no coding region annotated. The transcript is spliced from 12 exons. NCBI's taxonomy places the organism in Eukaryota, Metazoa, Arthropoda, Insecta, Lepidoptera, Nymphalidae. The record is from RefSeq and is a predicted model, not a curated record.
CGAGAAAUGUAAACAAAACUACCAUGUGGUGAGAUAAAAACUUCUCAGUACAAUGGAUUCUAAAGAAAACUUAAAUUUAAAAGAUUUUUUUUUAUAAUCUCAUUCAAGACACAAAUGGAUUCUAAUAUAGAAGCCCUACAAAACGAAGUUCAAUUUUACAGGCAAAACCAAACUGUCGUAGAACAAGAGAUUAGAACACUGAUAGCCGAUAAUCAUAAGCUGUCACAGCAAGUGGGUGCGUUGUUGAAGGAGAAGCUUCACCAUGCGCAGCAGGCUCACGAGAACAACGGCAACAGUGAUGAAAUCGAAGAGCUGAGGAGACAAGUCUCAUUGCUGACUAAGGAAAGAGAUUCACUCCAUGUUCUUUGGCAGACAUCGCAGAAAACCAUUGAUGCUUUAGAUAUAGAAUUAAAAACAUACCAGACCUACGAUAAUAGACGAGGAAAUCAGACAACAACAGACGAAAAAAGAGACUUGGAUCUUAAGUUAGAAACAGCACUCUCCGAUUAUGUCGAGUUGGAAUCAAGAUACAAAAAAUUGCGCAACGAAAAUAAUUCAUUAGAAAGUGAUUUGAAAACUAAAGAAAGGGAAAUAACAUCUUAUAAAGAAAGGCUUAAAGAACUAGAAGAAGAAUUAGCGGAACUCAAAAAAUGUUUGGAAGAACACAAGAUAAAUAUAUCUUCAGAAAUAAAGAGCCGUGAAGACACUAAAACUCAACUAACAAUAUGCCAGAAAGAAUGUGUUGAUAUAAUUAAAAGGGAAGCAGAAGCCAAAUCCAAGUUUUUACAGGUUGCAGAAGCAUUACAACUUUUUGAUUUGGUAACAGGUCAAAAAAAUGAAGCUUAUAAGAAAAUUGCAGACCUCACAGCUGAAUUGUCAACGUUAAGGCAAAAAUUUACUGAUGUCCACCGUGACAUAGAAUCAAGUUAUAGAAAAGAGAUUGAAGAAGUUAAAGAGAAUUACAACGAAAAGGUUUCUGAUAUGCUUCAGCAUAUUAGAAAUCUUGAUGGUGAGCUUGUUGAAAAGGGACUUUUACUAAACAAGGCUUUAAGGGAAAUCAAAAUUCUACAAGCAACAAAUGAAAACUACGUUAAGAUGGAACAAAACAAUUUAAAAGCCGCAGAUCCUAAACUUGCAAUCGCCGAACAAAGACUUGAGGCUAUGUACCAAGAACUGGUUGCGUCGGAACGUCGCAACAUACAAUUAGUAUGUGAGAAACAAUGCCUAACAAUGGACAUACAGAGAAUUCAAGAUGCACAAACAAGAGAUAGUAAAAGACGCGACUGGGAAGAGAGUCUUAUGAAGACACAAACUGAUGAAUUGAAAUUACAAGUGGAUCAUCUCCAAAAAUCAUUGGACGAAACCCAUAAAAUGGUCAACAAAUUGCAAUCUAUGUUAUCAUCGAGGGCAGAGAUAAGCCAAAAAAUGGUUUCAACGAAAGAAGAGGAACUGAUGGAACUAAAUAAACAUCUUGAAAAUCAAAUGGAACUUAGUAAAAAAUGGAAGGAAUCUUAUAUAGACAUGACAGAAAAACUAAAGAAGAAAUUAGAUAACUUGGAUAAAGAAAAUAAAGAACUCCGAAACCAGUUAAACAUUAGCUCUUUUAAUCACGAUAACAGUACGUCAAGUUGAAGACACUAAAAAUUUAUCAUCUCACAUUGCUGUUAAGCGCAUGCGCCAAUUUAUAUAAAAUAACUCAUAAAAGGUUUGUCUCCUUAAGCUCUGACAGGCCACUGUGGACUCAAUGGACACUAGAUCACUGGUUAUAGAUAUAAUCUGCAGGACUAUGCAGUGAAACACCACUGCAUCUUUGACUACCCUGCACUAAUUAAUUAGUGUAGCAUUCAUCUAGGGAAUUAAUAUCGG